This is a long non-coding RNA of Solanum lycopersicum (tomato), 649 nucleotides long. RefSeq lists it as uncharacterized. The record is from RefSeq and is a predicted model, not a curated record. NCBI's taxonomy places the organism in Eukaryota, Viridiplantae, Streptophyta, Magnoliopsida, Solanales, Solanaceae.
GAAUAAAUUUUAGAAUUGGGGUUCAAUUUUCAGAAUUAUGUUUUUACUUUUAAAAAAAUUCUACUGUUCAUCGCUUUUUCGGCAACUUUUCGGCCAGUCACCAUCCUAAAGCCCCUUUCAUUUUUUUUAAUAUUUUUCCAUCCAAGCUAACAACCAGUAUGCUGCGGCUGCCCAACUUCUUCUUCCUUCAUCACCGUUUCGAGCAGCCAACAACUUCACCACCAUCGGAGUUACAAGACCACCGAAACCCUCUCCAAACCAGUUCCAAAACUCCCUUCCUUUUUCCGUUACAAUUUUCAGCUAAGAAACCACCGGAAACACACCUAUUUUCACCACCAGUGACCACCAGACACCACCACAAGCUCGAACCACCAAGCUCCGGCAAAGAGCACCCAAUGUACAGUUCCCCUCCCCCUUUCCCUCUUACGAUUCUCCUCUAUUUGCAGGUAUUCAGUGAAUCUCUAAACUCCAGCGAGAAUGAACAAACAAGAACAACUAAAAUUUCUAAAUCUGCCUGAAUUUUCUAUUUUUCCGGUACUCAAGACUUGCUUCCUUGAAGUUAUUCAAAGGAGUUCGAAUUAUAUUUUUAAUUCAUUAUUUUGUAUAUAUAUCGAUGUUAGUCAAAUUUUAGACCGGUAUUAUUAUUUUA